AUUCAGAAUAAAUAUUAUAGUGAAUCUGAUCGUGGCAUGUAUUUAUUUUAGUUAUUAAAUAUUUUUUUAAUUAAUUUAUUACAUACAUACAUAUAGGUCUACCGGAAUUUGAUGGCAAAAAAAAGUCGCUAUCUGUCAAAACUGAAAUUUCGUGGAAUUGUUUUUGGUUUGGCUUCAAAUUUCCUUUAAAAAGUGGUGAAAAUGUCGAAGAAACCUCUUCGAUCGCAAGCAAGAAGUAUUGUUUUAAAUGUUUAUCUAUCUAUCUAUCUAUCUCUUAGGUUUAUGGCGAAAAAGAAUACUCGAUGAACAAGGUGCAGAACAAACACAAUCAUCGAUAUUGAGCCAUGUGCAAGCGUUGACUGGUGUUUCUAAUACUACCAUAACACGAAUUGUUGCCUAAGGCAGAUCUAACAGAGGCGUAUUUAGUACGCCCGGUCAAAAGAGGAAAGGUGGCAAAAAUACUGCGUUUUCUUCGCCUUCCUCUUCUGAUGAAGACUUUUAUGGAUGUGCAGUAUUUGGAACCAUUUUCAAGCUCUGAUAGCCUAUAAUUAAUUAAUUCAUGAACAGAGUAAUUGGAGUUUUCAUCUAAAUUUCGAAUCCCACAUUCGCCACAGUAAGAUUUUCAAACAUUAUCCUUCAUCAUUGCAUACAUUCUUAUAUUUGCAUGUAUCAUACACAGAAUCAGCCGCUAUAAGAAAAAAAAAGUAUCAAAACGUUUUACUCCAAUUUUUCCAGUAUUGCUAGCGUCAAUUUCUUUUUUCCCUUUUUGCCAUCAGGUCCUGGUAGACCUAUACAUACUAACAUACGUCUGAACCUAAUAAAAGCGUAUUAUACGUUAAUAAUAAUUAAAUAAUAACAUAGACUUACCUAAACUAUAAAUCAUGUUUUAAGCGUCAUUAUUGCCAAUAAUGGUGGUUUGCACCCAUAAACACUAUCUGCGCUAUUGAACUUAAAUUAAAUGUGUAAUAAUAAUGACUAGUUGAACAUUUAGGCUCUGUGAAAAUCACUACGCAUGCAUUCUUUGCUUUUUCCAUAGGUUCCCUGAAAUAUUAGUAAUUGUCAUCCUAUUACUGGGAUAAAAUUUUACUUCAUUUGUUUUUAAAUCUUCUCAUUUAAUCUCAUACUUUAAUUAAUUUCACAAAGAUCAUCUUCAUUUCACUUAAAUUUACUUUCCAUUAGAAAACUAUUUUAUUAGUUAGACUCGAUGCUGGCAACAACAAAGACCAAUUAUCAUAUUAAAAAAAAAGUAGUGAAUACUUGUGAAACCAUAACAAUACAGUUGAAUGAAGUUAGCCCCUCAAAAAAAUUUUUUUUUCCUAUUUUAUACUUAUUUUCUAUUAAUUCGUUUGUUCAUCAUUUGUUCAUGAUUGUUCACUGUUAAUAAUUGUUUGUUCUGCAUUUAUUUAUUUAAAAAUAUACCUACAAGUUAGCCCCUCUAAUGCAAUUUUUAAUAUUUUUUCAUCCUUAAUGACUCGUAAAUAUUCAUUUUCGAUUGUUCUUAUAUAAAACAAGUUUGUUCUCUUUCGAAAUUAGUAGUUUUUUGUUUAAUUUACUAUUUUUAUUAGUUGAAUAAAUGUAUGCAAAAUAUGUGUAUUGCGCAUGCGUCAACUAUAAUGCCUAAACUUUCUACGCGGUUUUAAUCGUGAAAAAAAAAACAAAUAUAAAUCCUGAAGGAGCAAUUAAUUUUUUUUUAGAUUUUUCAAUUAACUUUAAGUACUUGAAAAAAAAUUUUUUAAGUGACGUACUCGCUUUCGAGGCCUUGCGCGCAACCUAACAAUGGCGCGCGGCGGGCUAUUAUCAGCGUUAAAUUAAAAUUAUAAAUAAUGGAGCUACAGUUCCGGGAGUUGGAACUUUUUUUUACUAAAUUUCCUCCUCUUUAAGGAUCUUUUUUUCAAAUUUCGAAAAUAUUUAUAGUUUACGGACAAUAAGCAAUAAACGAAACGCUAUUUUUUUAAGGUGUUUAAUUGUUAAUAACUUUUGGAAUUUUUUAUGUGCUAAUUAAAUUUUUUAGCACAAUGGUCUAGACAUUAUUCCGAAUCGAAUGAGCUAAACCACAUAAUUUUAGCAGUAGUAUGUCGAAUUAACACCAUUUUUAACUUGUCGACUAGACUAAAUUGAAUGUCGAUGUUCUGACCAACGGAAAUCGAUUCAUUUGCUUUUAAUCGAUUCAAAAUCUGUGUUUUCAGGUCAAUCGAUUUUGCGAGUAAUUGAUCAAGCCCUAUUCCUAAAGUUUUUUUAAAGGUAUUUUAUGACCUGGUAAAUAGGACGUUUAAGUCAUGUCUCAUUUUAAUGUAUAUCCUUAUUUUUAUGGCAAAUGAUUACGGAGUGAAAUGACAUGAAAUGAAGAUGAUUAAUUUGAGACAUUAAUUAGCUGCGAUGAAAUUAAAUGAGAUGAUUUUUUUUUAUUGCCCUUGUAGGCAGACGAGCAUACGGCCCACCUGAUGGUGAGUGGUUACCGUCGCCCAUGGACUUCAGCAAUUCCAGGGGCAGAGCCAAGCCACUGCCUACCGCUUAA
Molecule: long non-coding RNA, 2515 nt
Organism: Bombyx mori (domestic silkworm)
Lineage: Eukaryota; Metazoa; Arthropoda; Insecta; Lepidoptera; Bombycidae
Exons: 2
Source: RefSeq, a predicted model, not a curated record